ACCUCUAAUAGAGUCAGUUAGUCAGCUCUCAUGCUCAGGAACGCUGUGAAAAUGCCAAAAAGUAAACUUUUGGAGGCAGCAAGGAACGGACUUAAAUAUCAAAAAAUAGACACAACAUUUAACCAGUUCUGGAAUGAGAUGAACCUGACCUUCUGGGCCUGCCGUCAUCAGGAGGAGGUGCAGCCACACCAUACAGCAGGAAAUAAAAAAUACAGGAAUACCAUCUAAACCAGCUUGACCUUUUCCACCAGGUAAACCAGGUCGACCAAAAAUGCCUGGGUCUCCGGGCUUUCCUGCGUUUCCUGGAAUACCUGGAGGACCUGGAACUCCAUUCAACCCUUUAGCACCAGGACUCCCAGGUGCACCUAAAGCCAUCAGAAGCAUUUUUUUUUUUUUAAUAAUCCAUUAUGGUCAAUAAAUAAAUAAAUAAAUAAAUAAAACAUUGGCAAUUAAAAAUGGCAGUAUUGAUCAGUUUCAGGUAUUUCAAUAUGUAAUAUGUGUAGC
Trichomycterus rosablanca is the source of this 504-nucleotide long non-coding RNA. RefSeq lists it as uncharacterized. NCBI's taxonomy places the organism in Eukaryota, Metazoa, Chordata, Actinopteri, Siluriformes, Trichomycteridae. The record is from RefSeq and is a predicted model, not a curated record. The transcript has 3 exons.